UACGAAGGGGGCUAGCGUUGCUCGGAAUCACUGGGCGUAAAGCGCACGUAGGCGGAUUGCUAAGUCAGGGGUGAAAUCCUGGAGCUCAACUCCAGAACUGCCUUUGAUACUGGCGACCUUGAGUCCGGGAGAGGUGAGUGGAACUGCGAGUGUAGAGGUGAAAUUCGUAGAUAUUUCGCAAGAACACCAGUGGCGAAGGCGG
RNAcentral lists this ribosomal RNA (202 nucleotides) under uncultured bacterium. RNAcentral's name for it is "partial 16S ribosomal RNA". It matches the Rfam family "Bacterial small subunit ribosomal RNA", at positions 524 to 724 of the family's 1533-position model. The record is from RNAcentral.